AACGAACGCUGGCGGCAGGCUUAACACAUGCAAGUCGAACGAGCUGGGGGCUUCGGUCCCCGAUGCUAGUGGCGCACGGGUGAGUAACACGUGGGAAUAUGCCCUUUAGUACGGAAUAACCAAGGGAAACUUUGGCUAAUACCGUAUACGCCCUUCGGGGGAAAGAUUUAUCGCUAAAGGAUUAGCCCGCGUCUGAUUAGGUAGUUGGUGAGGUAAUGGCUCACCAAGCCGACGAUCAGUAGCUGGUCUGAGAGGAUGAUCAGCCACACUGGGACUGAGACCCGCCCCGGCCUCCUCCGGGAGGCGGCAGUGGGAAAUUUUGGACAAUGGGGCCACCCCUUAUCCCCCCCUGCCGGGGGAGUAAAGAAGCCCUGCGGGUUGUAAACCUCUUUCGCCGGGUCCUAUGAUCCCGUCCCCCAAAUAAGAACCCCCGGCAACCUUCGUC
Molecule: ribosomal RNA, 445 nt
Filed under: uncultured bacterium
Lineage: Bacteria
Description: partial 16S ribosomal RNA
Rfam family: Bacterial small subunit ribosomal RNA
Source: RNAcentral